GCUCUCCUACGGGACGCAGCAGUAGGGAAUUUUCGUCAAUGGGCGCAAGCCUGAACGAGCAAUGCCGCGUGAACGAGGAAGGUCUUCGGAUCGUAAAGUUCUGUUGAAGGGGAAAAAGAGCGGAGAGAGGAAAUGAACUCCGAUUGAUAUUACCCUUCGAGGAAGUCACGGCUAACUACGUGCCAGCAGCCGCGGUAAUACGUAGGUGGCGAGCGUUAUCCGGAAUGAUUGGGCGUAAAGGGUGCGUAGGCGGCCUGCUACGUCUGGAGUGAAAGGUACCGGCUCAACCGGUACAGGCUCUGGAA
Molecule: ribosomal RNA, 305 nt
Filed under: uncultured bacterium
Lineage: Bacteria
Description: bacterial SSU rRNA
Rfam family: Bacterial small subunit ribosomal RNA
Source: RNAcentral